CCCAGUGCCUCCCAGUUCAUCCCAGUAUGGCCCAGUGCCUUCCCAGUUCAUCCCAGUCCUUCCCAGUUUGUCCCAGUUCAUCCCAGUUUGUCCCAGUUCGUCC
This 103-nucleotide long non-coding RNA is filed under the name Zosterops lateralis melanops. Its description in RNAcentral is "lncRNA (ENSZLMG00000008346.1)". The record is from RNAcentral. Lineage: Eukaryota; Metazoa; Chordata; Aves; Passeriformes; Zosteropidae.